CCUACGGGUGGCAGCAGUGGGGAAUAUUGGGCAAUGGGCGCAAGCCUGACCCAGCAACGCCGCGUGAAGGAAGAAGUCUUUCGGUUUGUAAACUUCUUUUCUCAGGGAAGAAGGAAGUGACGGUACCUGAGGAAUAAGCCACGGCUAACUACGUGCCAGCAGCCGCGGUAAUACGUAGGUGGCAAGCGUUAUCCGGAUUUACUGGGUGUAAAGGGCGUGUAGGCGGGGAUGCAAGUCAGAUGUGAAAACCACGGGCUCAACCCGUGGACUGCUUUUGAAACUGUGUUUCUUGAGUACUGGAGAGGCAGACGGAAUGCCUAGUGUAGCGGUGAAAUGCGUAGAUAUUAGGAGGAACACCAGUGGCGAAGGCGGUCUGCUGGACAGCAACUGACGCUGAGGCGCGAAAGCGUGGGGAGCAAACAGGAUUAGAUACCCGGGUAGUC
This 443-nucleotide ribosomal RNA is filed under the name uncultured bacterium. RNAcentral describes it as "partial 16S ribosomal RNA". It matches the Rfam family "Bacterial small subunit ribosomal RNA", at positions 338 to 795 of the family's 1533-position model. The record is from RNAcentral.